Non-coding RNA from Dermochelys coriacea (leatherback sea turtle), 1040 nucleotides. Lineage: Eukaryota; Metazoa; Chordata; Testudines; Dermochelyidae. The record is from the annotation of a RefSeq genome assembly.
CAUCAUUUACAUUCCCUGGCUGGAGUUCUAACAAGAGGAAGAAGAAUGUUGCUGUUAGAGACUUUUGUUCUGGCUAUGGUUUGUUCCUAUGGCUCCUCACAAGUGCGUCUGGCCCAGCCUCAACUGUCCAUCACCAGGGAAGGAAAUAAAGCUAUACGAAUUGACUGUCAUGUUUCUCUAUCGGAGGAUUUUGGCAAGGCUUAUAUACACUGGUAUAGACAGAGACCCGGUGCAGCUCCAGAGCGGAUUCUGUUCAUCUCAACGCAGUCUGAAUUUGACAGAGUCUCAGAUAAAGGAAAGUUUAAUGCUGAAAAGAAGAUUGGCCAGUCUACCUGUACCCUGACUAUAAACAAGAUAACCUCCAGUGACAUUGCAACUUACUAUUGUGCCUAUUGGGAUCGCACAGUGUUAGAAAACUGUAGACAGCCUGUACAAAAACCCACUCUGCAUUCUGAGCCACAGCCUUUUGCGUGUAUGAGGCCACUGUCACCUCUCAAAAUUCCUCUCAGCGUGGAGCCACCGGAUGAAACUCUUCAUUGGCUCUGCAGCUAGAUAUGAACAGCAACUGCUGAUUCAGUGCGUAUUUUCCACAUAAAUCACUAAGACCAGGUCAGGUCUAGCAGAACACGAGGUCACCUAGGGCACACAGGGGAGGUAGGCACCCAAUCUCAUUACAAGUCAAUGGGAGUUGUGCGUUUAGCUGCCCCUUGCCCUGUAAAAAAAAAAAAAAAAAAAAAAAAAAAAAAAAAAAAAAAAAAAUUUCCCGCUGAAUAUUAGGUGAAGCCGACAGUCAGUAGUUGCCUGUGGGGGUUAUCGUGGGCUGAGUGGGUGGAGAUUUGUCAUCAGUCUAGAGGAGCAGAACACUUGGGGUGAAAAUCCUGGCUCCAGAGAAGGAAAUGGGGCCAGGCUCUCAUCCCCAUAACUGCCUGACACUACAGUCUCCCAAUCCAGACAUGAUUCAUCUCCUGAAACAGGAAGCAAGUGAAAGUAAAACAGGAGCGCUGGACCCAGUGUGCAGGUGCAAUAAUGUACCUCCUUAU